RNAcentral lists this ribosomal RNA (275 nucleotides) under Citrobacter freundii. RNAcentral describes it as "partial 16S ribosomal RNA". It matches the Rfam family "Bacterial small subunit ribosomal RNA", at positions 153 to 430 of the family's 1533-position model. The record is from RNAcentral. Lineage: Bacteria; Pseudomonadati; Pseudomonadota; Gammaproteobacteria; Enterobacterales; Enterobacteriaceae.
GAAACGGUAGCUAAUACCGCAUAACGUCGCAAGACCAAAGAGGGGGACCUUCGGGCCUCUUGCCAUCGGAUGUGCCCAGAUGGGAUUAGCUAGUAGGUGGGGUAACGGCUCACCUAGGCGACGAUCCCUAGCUGGUCUGAGAGGAUGACCAGCCACACUGGAACUGAGACACGGUCCAGACUCCUACGGGAGGCAGCAGUGGGGAAUAUUGCACAAUGGGCGCAAGCCUGAUGCAGCCAUGCCGCGUGUAUGAAGAAGGCCUUCGGGUUGUAAAG